UAUGGCCUCGGGCAGCCUCCUCAAAGCCCAUUGGUCAUGAUUUUUGACCAAUAGGAAUGGAGAUUUUUUAUUUUUCAUCUCCAUUCAUCUAUAUUGGUGCCCUAAUUACUCCCUUUGCUACCAAAAUCCUUCUUCAAUCCUUUUUUUUAUAAGAUUUACAUAAUUUAUGCUCUAAACACCAAAUAAAAGAACCAAAAUAAGUUUUCAAAUGUCAUCAAUGUCUAACAAAGGUGACUCUAAAUAUUUAGAAGUUACUAUCAAUCAAAACCAAUCUUAAAAGCCACUAUCAAA
This 291-nucleotide long non-coding RNA is filed under the name Physcomitrium patens. RNAcentral describes it as "long non-coding RNA (PPAT_LNC012367)". Lineage: Eukaryota; Viridiplantae; Streptophyta; Bryopsida; Funariales; Funariaceae. The record is from RNAcentral.